UACGAAGGGUGCAAGCGUUACUCGGAAUUACUGGGCGUAAAGCGUGCGUAGGUGGUGAGUUAAGUCUGUCGUGAAAGCCCCGGGCUCAACCUGGGAAUGGCGAUGGAUACUGGCUCGCUAGAGUGCGGUAGAGGGGUGUGGAAUUCCCGGUGUAGCAGUGAAAUGCGUAGAUAUCGGGAGGAACAUCUGUGGCGAAGGCGACACCCUGGACCAGCACUGACACUGAGGCACGAAAGCGUGGGGAGCAAACAGG
RNAcentral lists this ribosomal RNA (253 nucleotides) under uncultured bacterium. RNAcentral's name for it is "partial 16S ribosomal RNA". It matches the Rfam family "Bacterial small subunit ribosomal RNA", at positions 524 to 776 of the family's 1533-position model. The record is from RNAcentral.